GGGCACGUGGUGUAGAGGCCUAACAUGACUCCCUGUCACGGAGUAGAUCGCCGGUUCGAAUCCGGUCGUGCCCGCCA
This 77-nucleotide transfer RNA is filed under the name bacterium. Its description in RNAcentral is "tRNA-Asp". It matches the Rfam family "tRNA". From Rfam's summary of the family: Transfer RNA (tRNA) molecules are approximately 80 nucleotides in length. The record is from RNAcentral.